GAUGAAGAACGUAGCGAAAUGCGAUACUUGGUGUGAAUUGCAGAAUCCCGUGAACCAUCGAGUCUUUGAACGCAAGUUGCGCCCGAAGCCAUUAGGCCGAGGGCACGCCUGCCUGGGCGUCACACGUCGUUGCCCCCCCAUCUACUCCUUCGGGAUUGCGGGGGGCGGAUGAUGGCCUCUCGUGCGCCUCGUCGCGCGGUUGGCCUAAAUGCCAAGUCCUCGGCGACGCACGCCACGACAAUCGGUGGUUGCGAAACCUCGGUUGCCUGUCGUGUGCGGUCGUCGCGCAUCGAGGGCUCGAAAAAAUUGCCGGGCUUCGGCUCGACUUUCAACGCGACCCCAGGUCAGGCGGGGUUACCCGCUGAAUUUAAGCAUAUCAAUAAGCGGAGGG
This 391-nucleotide unclassified non-coding RNA is filed under the name soil metagenome. RNAcentral's name for it is "partial contains 5.8S ribosomal RNA, internal transcribed spacer 2, and large subunit ribosomal RNA". The stretch from base 1 to 122 matches the Rfam family "5.8S ribosomal RNA", at positions 35 to 154 of the family's 154-position model. The record is from RNAcentral.